Molecule: RNA transcript, 5335 nt
Organism: Bactrocera dorsalis (oriental fruit fly)
Lineage: Eukaryota; Metazoa; Arthropoda; Insecta; Diptera; Tephritidae
Gene: ITP
Gene name: ion transport peptide
Exons: 5
Source: RefSeq, a predicted model, not a curated record
CGUCUAUGCGCUCAUAACGCGUCGUCUGUUUUCCAACUAAAUCGAGCAAAAUAAAAUAUAUUUCUACAAAUUCUAAAAAAUAAUUUUUGAUCAAAAAAUAUUCACAAAGCAAAGUUUGCGUAUUCGAAAUAAAAUUAUUUUUAAUUCAUGAAAUUCUCACACAAAGUUUCGAAUAUAUGUGCCACUAAUUAAAUCAAUGAAAGCUGGUGCCCAGUGAAGUUUGAAAUAAAAUAAAAUUAUAUGUAAUAAGCAUAAAAGUGGAAAAUUAAAUUAAAUAAAUUUGAGUUUGAGCUCUUUCGCAAUGCGUCGUGUGUCGCUUGCGUGCAACAACGUCGGAAAGUGACGCGCCCUGAGUGUGUGCAACGGAAGUGGGAAAGUGCGCCCGUACGCAACCGAAUAUACACACAUACACACACAUAUCUGCGUGCAUAUAUGUAUACCAGUUUCAUAAAAGAAUAAAUAAAAUAAAAAAAAUCUUAAGUAAAAAUAAAAGUUGCUUAUGUUUGCUGUCAACCUUUUGUGCCGUCAAGUGUAGCGAAAAUCAUUUUCUUCGAAAAUUUAUUGCAGUCCAUGAGCCGAUAGUCAGUCGGUGGAUAUAGUCGGCGCACUUGCACAAUUUUGAGCGACAUUGGAAUUUCGUAAAGCCAGCAGUCAAAUAAAAAAUAUAAAAUACAAAAAACACGAGAAUAAAAAAAUCAAAUAAAACGCAAAUGUCUGGGAACUUGGGUGUCGCGCUAAGAGAAUUUAUUUAAUUGCUUAUUUUUAUAAGCUAUAAAGUUGUGCGGAUUAAAAAUAGUCGCCGUAAAAUGGCUAAGACGCAAAGGGGAAGAGUAGCCAACGCAUUCGCAUAUUGACUGCAAUUGUUGCUAGUCACCCGCAUACAAUACAAUAACAACAACAAGCGCAAUUGACAUUUACAAAUGUGUAAGUGUACGUUUUGUGAGCUUGAAAGCACACAUGUGAAGCAGACAACGAACAUAGUUGACAACAAACAAACACACAUUUGAAUGCACGCUCUGAUACAGCAACAAACACGAGUCGGGAAACGCGCGAUGUUCAAGACUUUGAUUUACGCAAUUUUCGUUCGCAAGAAAAGUACUUCUGCUGCCGACGGCAACAACAACAUACAAUUCAACACCAACACCAACGCCAACAACAACAACUGUAGUAUCAUCGGCAUCGCUAAUAUUAGCUUUGGCAUUCUUAUAGGCGUUGCCAUUGCAAUUUUAAACGCCAACAUUCGUUACGCGCCUGCACCGACAAUUGCCACUUAAGUGCAGAAUACGAGAAGUUACAAUACACAUAAAUACGCGUUCGUCGAAGUUCAGCACCCCAAGGAAGUUGCAUACGGUUUGAUUUCGUUGCGACGCUUUUGUAUAAAAAAAUCAACUUGAUGUAUCAGCUGUGCCGAUUGUAUCAACGCACACAUAAAGAUUUAACAAAAGUUCAUACAAAAUGGCGAUUAAUAACACCACCCGAUCGACGACGACUAGAGAUGCGCUACGAUAAACGUUACGAAGUGAGUGUCACCGUCAACGAGUGAUUUCAAAAAAAUCUCGACGAAAAGAAAAAUUUUAAAUUUAUAUACAAAUAUUAGCGCAGUUAUGUACGAAAGUAGUGCGUAAAGGAAAGAAAAUAUUACCAGUGCUGGUGCAGUUCCAAAUAUUAGUAUAGUGUUGCAACAUACGCCUACUAUGUAAAUUAUAGUGUUACUAAAAGAAAGAGUGUGUUGAAUUAUCCCAAAUAUAUAUCGGUUAAAAAAUUAUUGAAUUAGAAAAGUGUAGCGCUAAGUUUUCGCUCGCUUUCGCUGUCAACCAGCCAUUAGUGUUAGUCUAAAAUACAGCAAAGCGCGAAAUCAGCAUUGAAAAUCCUUUAAUAUUUCACCUACAACAAAAGCCAAUAAAAUUUUCCUCAUGUGGCAUCCACUUGCACGAGAUUUGGCUACACUCUUACAAGAAGCCGUGCAAUACACACGCAACUUGGUUGUGUCUAAGAUGUGUUCCCGCAACAUUAAGAUCUCGGUGGUGCUGUUUCUUGUCUUGAUUCCACUUAUCACAGCUUUGCCACACAACAACCACAAUCUGUCGAAGCGAAGCAAUUUCUUCGACUUAGAGUGCAAAGGCAUCUUCAACAAAACAAUGUUCUUCCGCUUGGAUCGCAUUUGCGAAGACUGCUAUCAACUUUUCCGCGAGACAAGUAUACACCGACUAUGCAAGAAAAACUGCUUCGAUUCGAAAUGGUUUGGAGAAUGCCUGAAAGUGCUUUUAAUACCAACGGAAGAGAUUUCGAAAUUACAGCACUUUAUUAAAGUGAUUAACGGCUCUCCAAUAUCAUUCCCACAGUCGGUCCCAACAUAACUUUAGUUUAGAUGCAAAACUUUCCAAUUUCCAAUUAAUUUGUACUUAUUUAUUAUUGUAUUUUACGAUGAUUUAAGUUUCAUUUGAGUUUUAUGAUUUUCUGUUAUUUAUUACAUACAGAUGUAAUUAAUUAUGUUUAUGCUUAAAAUAUGCUUAAUUUAUUUUAAAUAACAAAACGGAACCUUAAAAGCUAACUAAACAGAUAUAAAUGAAACUCACACCCACACAAACACACACUCAUAUAUACAAUAGAAAAAACAAAAAAAAACUUUGCAGAGAAGAGAAUGAAAUUCAAAAUAUUUAUAAACUUAUUUAUUCUAUAAGUAAAGUUAGUAACUCUUUAAACGGAGACAAAAGCAAAAGUGAAAAAUAUUGUAAACUAUAAACUCAAAGUUUUAGAAGUGGAAAAAGAAAAAAACUAAAGCAAAAAUUAAAUAUAACGGACUUGCAUAAAUACGCUUUUUGUAUUUGCACUAAGUUAAACAGAAAAUGUGGAGUCUAGAGAAAAUUUUGCACAAAAACAUUCGACAAUCAAUAGAAAUACAACGCAGUACUGUAGAGUAACAGUAACAUUACACAAAUCUGUAGUUGAGCAGAGCGUCAUACCUUACAUAAAACUGUAGAAUAACAAAGCUGCUUCUCUUAACUUUAUAUAAAACUGUAAAAUAGCAUAAUUUCAAGUGCAGUGCUGUUAACUUUAUAUAAAACUGCAACUUUUAAACUGCAUUGCUGUUAACUACACAGUAAUCUGUAGUAUAACAGAUUUUCAAAGGCAGUUCUGUUAAGCUUACAUAAAACUGUAGUUUAACUGAGCUUCAAGGACAGUACUGCUAACCUAAUUCCAAACUACGCAACAUCACUUUAACAGCUUAAACGCAAGCAUAGAACAUGUCUCGGGAAUAUUAAAUACUAGAAAGUAUUGAUUUUGUAUUUAUGAAUAUAUUCGUACUUUUUUCAAUUUUUUUAAACGAAAAUCACCAAGCAUAACUUUGAGUUUUUACUUUACAUGUGUUUGUUAGAAUAUACAAGUGUAUAUGUAGGUAUAAAUGCAUGAAGAAGAAAUGUUAAACUAUUAUUGUAGUAAGUGCUUUCCGAUAAGUAUUUAUCUAGAAAAAAUGUUAUUUUUAUAAAUUAAAAACAAAAAAAUAAAAACAAAAUCAACUAACUAUUCCUUUAUACAUUUUGCAAUUUGUGAAAAGCACACAAAAAUCCAGUUAAACACAAAAAACACUAAUGAAAUUUUUCUCAACAACAACAAAAAUACAUACAAACACUUUCACAAAAAAAAUAUUCUACUCAGUGCAGUUACAUUCAGAAUGUACUACUAAGAUAGUUGAAGCACUUUUAAGAGUUUCUAAAUUUUUUAUAAAUCAAUACAUUUAUAUAUAAAUAUAAAUAUAUGCUAGAAUCGUUUACAAAAGCUAUGUACUAUAUUUAUAACAAAUUUAUAAAAAGAUAAACUGUGAAAAAAAAUUUCAAAAUAUUUUAAAAUCAAAAAAGAUGGCAUCGAGUUAUGGUAAUGAAACGUACACAUACAUACAUAGUGACUUACAUAUGUACACACAAACACCUAUAUGUUAUGUAUGUGCAUAUUGGUUAUGUAUGUGAAUGUUGAAGAAAUUUGUUAGCAAAUAUUUACUGAAAUUAUUGUGAUAAAGUAGUAGAACGACAAGCAAGCAUAAAUAUGUAGUAGAAAGUAUGUUGUAAAAACGGCGAAAACGAUCGAGACGAACCACAGCAACAAUAACGCCGACCAAGCGCACAAGCAACUGGCGUAAGCUGGCCCUGGCAACACCACAGUGCGAGACCGAGUGGCGAAACCACAAAGAGGAGCGUGUUUUGUGGCUACAAUCAUACAGAUCGCACGGAAAAACAACAACACACACAAGCAUUUGACAAAUAUUUGUCUGUGUGUGCUUGGCAGCGCUGCAUGGCUUUGAACUUGCAGGACUUGCGCAUCAACACAUUACAAUUACAAACACACACAUGUACCAAUGCCAUAACAACAACAAUAAUGAACUUUUGAUUUUUUGGCAAGAUUGCUUCGGUUCACAAUUCUUCGCCGCCUGCGUCGAGGCUCUACAACUGCACGAAGAGAUGGACAAAUACAAUGAAUGGCGCUUCACUCUCGGCAAGAAGUAAGGCGUUCCAUUCCAUUGCGUUCUACUUAUUUCAUUGUUGACGACCAGCGGACGACGUUCAUGCGACGGUUACAGUGUGUGGCUUGUAUGUACAUUUUGUGGAUUUUGCGAUUGUGUUGGCGUUUUUAUGAAGAUCAAACGACGACUUGGACUGGAACACUGAUAAUGUUAAAUCAACCGAAGGCGCUAAAUAAACAAGUGAUGUAUGAAUGUAUAACCGUAUAACGAAAAUGGCAAUGUGAUCCUGAUGAUGACAACGUUGACAAUGAAUGGAGUGAUGAUGAUGACUACGAUGACGAUGACGACACUGGCAGCUAAGCAUGAAUAUAAAUUAUGGAGUAAUGGAAAAUUGAAAAAAAAAAUAUUUAUGGAAUUUUAUAUUAAAUUUUGUUUGAAAAAAUACUUAGAAAGGAGUAAAAAAAGAACACACAUACAUAUUAUCAAUGGAAAUUUAAUGAAAUAAACUAAAGUAUUUAGCACAAAUGAAUAAAAUAAUUGAAAUUUAAAUUUAAAGCAAAAUUAAUCGUUUCAAAUUGCUCGUUGAUGUACUUUGAUGUCUGCCUAAUGCAAAGUUUUAGCAAAUUAAUUGAAAAAAAUUGAAAAAAAAAUAACAACAAAAUACGUAUUUUCUAUAUUUCUGUAUGUAUAGCUAUUUUUCAUGAAAUAAAACUAAGUUCAUGCACAAAAAUGUUAAAUGUAAAAAAUAAUUUCAAAAUGUGGGUAUUGAACAAAAUACAAUGUGUGUAAAGUUUUCGUUUCUUGCGUUAUAUAACCGUCUCCAGUGGUUAAUUUAAAGCUCUCAUAAUUUAAAAAAUUAUUUACAAAAAAAAAAAUAAU